Molecule: long non-coding RNA, 2042 nt
Organism: Mizuhopecten yessoensis (Yesso scallop)
Lineage: Eukaryota; Metazoa; Mollusca; Bivalvia; Pectinida; Pectinidae
Exons: 11
Source: RefSeq, a predicted model, not a curated record
CGCUCUUCUUUACAGCGUCGUCCAUGAAAACAGCAAGGGAAAUCCGUCAGCGGUUCUGGAUGGACAUUAGGUGCAGCCGACCUGUUACCAAUGUCGCAAGCGAACUACCCCAGACCGACAGGACUGUCUUGCUGUAAGUGGACAGAACCCUGGUUAGAUAUAUCUAGGAAGGUGGUCUGAGAUCUAGUUGGGUGAUUUGGCGUCUGGGGUAUCUGAAGCUGGAUAGAUUUAUGACAUUUCAGUUGCAUUAUUCACUCCUUUAACAAAGUUUUUAACCCUGGCGAACUCCAUUAUUGAGGUACAAAGACCUUUAUGGUUAUAUGUAGGGAUCCGAUAUCAUGUACCCCUCCGUGAUAGUCCUGAGGGGAACAUGUAAUCAUACUGAGUCAAGUGCUUCAUAUUGGUUGUUUCCGAGCUGGGGUUAAAUUCUCUUGUGACUGGAUGGAUGGGUGCAGCUGAAGUAGAAUAAAUCUAUUUUUGCAACAGUACCUCUUGCGUCGGAAAGUCUGACUAGGGUAAAGGUCAUCUGGUCCAGAAUAUCUGACUGACGGACUAUCAGGGCCUGCCAGCCCCCGGAGGAGGAGGAGGCGCCGUCCAAGGCGCAGAGAUCGACGCCUUCAUCCCGAUCUCACCCGGAGGAAGCGCCAUCCAUGGCGCAGAGAUCGUUGCCCCUCCCGAUCUCUUUCCAUAUGCCCCCGGUCCAAAGAAGGACACGGGGGACGUGCCUGGAGGUGGCACUGAGACACUGCCAUGUUUCGUUCUGGUUUGACUUUCUUCACACUGAGCCACAGUGUGGAGGCAGUCAAAAGGGCCGUGCUAAGUGCCCAAGGGUGUGACAUAGUGGCAGGUCUAUGUCGCCGUAGAGCGGGGAAAUUCCGUUAGGCAAGUACGAUGCUGGGUUCCACGACUUUAAUGGACUCAUCGGAAGCAUCAGUGCCUUUUCCUGAAGGAGAUUGUCCAACGUCUCGGACAGUCACCUGGUCAGGGUCUUCGAAUGCGUGGAGUCUUAACUCUAGAUGGAUGACUUAGCAAUGGAAAUAUUUGGAACUCAGUUGGUUUAGUCAUUUCUCAACUUGGAACUGUCCCUUCUUUGACAAUGCAUUUAAUUCCAAAUACAGACAUGAAUCUGACACGAGUAUGGCCUUACAGCAUCAUGAUUGGGACGUCAGGCCUGUGCGGUCGGGCUUGAUGGACCAAUGGACCGCCAUGUGUGUUGUUCUGCUCUGUAAAUCUUGUGAAGGAUGAUUGUUUGUGUCUGGACUUCCAUACAUUGUGAAAGAAUUGACAAAACUAGUUGGGACAUGACUAAAUCCUCUUGAGGCUUCAUCUAUCUUCUUUGCUGGGAAGUCUGUCUAUUGUCGAGAUGACACAAGUUUGAAGAAUCCUGACCUCAGGACGGAGAGAAUGCCCCAUAAAAAAACCAAGGAAAAAAAUCUACAUCCAUGAAUAACAACCACCUCAGAAGGAACGACAACCCCCAUCAGGACCAGAAGGAACGACAACCCCCAUCAGGACCAGAAGGAACGACAACCCCCAUCAGGACCAGGAGGAACGACAACCCCCAUCAGGACCAGAAGGAACGACAACCCCCACCAGGACCAGGAGGAACGACAACUCCCAUCAGGACCAGGAGGAACGACGACCCACACCAGGACCAGGAGGAACGACAACCCCCACCAGGACCAGGAGGAACGACAACCCACGCCAGGACCACAAAGAACAACAAUCCCAACAGGACCAUGAAAAACAACAAGAAAAAGAUAGUUACUGACAUCAUCUCAAUUACCUAUCUUCUGAUAGAUGCCAUGGCCCCAGUGACAGUUUUGUCAAAAACAAUUUCAGACUGAAAAUGUGGAUGUUGCUCUUUUGAAAGACAAAAUCUGGGAUCAUCCAGAAGGACGACCCUGGACCAUAAAGAACCACCACCCCAUUGGGACCACAUCAUUAAAAUCAGAAAACAAAAUUCAGAUGUAUCCUCCUUGUUUAUGAAAAUGAAUAAACAAAAAUCUACAUUCUGAAAUAUCCUGCAAACUACAGACAAC